This 74-nucleotide transfer RNA is filed under the name Ailuropoda melanoleuca (giant panda). It matches the Rfam family "tRNA". From Rfam's summary of the family: Transfer RNA (tRNA) molecules are approximately 80 nucleotides in length. Their secondary structure includes four short double-helical elements and three loops (D, anti-codon, and T loops). The record is from Rfam by way of RNAcentral. Lineage: Eukaryota; Metazoa; Chordata; Mammalia; Carnivora; Ursidae.
GCCUGGCUGGCUCAGUGAGGGGGAGCGUGUGACUCUUGAUCUCAAGGUUGUGAGUUCAAGCCCCAUGUUGGGUG